AAACAUCGAUCUUUUGCUAUACUUUUCAUACUGUUGUUUUAACUAUGUUAUGAAGUUAUUAUCAUGCAAAACACCUCACGACAAAACUUUACCCUCUUGGGGUACAAUAUGUUUUAUAAAUAGAAAAAUGUUUUAUUUAUUCAUUACAUACAAAUACAUCAUAUCAAGGGUAACCAUUAUUGCUAAACCGUUUUAUACAUUCAAAGAACUUAUGAUUUAUGCUUUGUCAAACAUUGUGAAAAAGGAUAAACUUUGCAUACAAAACUAUUACUUUAAUACAGACUUAGUUGAGAAUCCGUGAGACGUGUACAUCUUCAAAUACUACCUUUUGCUAAAAGGUAUCGCUACAAGUCCUGUCUAUAACCAGAGUCUCCCGUUCGGAGAACGUGUCAAAUGUGUAUAGAUCUAUACGGGAAGUCAUGAUCCCGCACCCUGACUGUUAGCUACAGUCCGUCUUUUGGGGUGACAGUUGUCAUAACGCUACGACGCCUGAAGAACGUCGCUACAGGCAUAUUAUGUUUAGUAUGGUUAUAAAACUCAUCGGAUAUACAAUUAUUAUGGUAUUAUGCUUUUAUGAACGAGUAGCUAUUAAAACUAUUCUUCAUCUAACAAGUGCGAUCUUCGUAUAGCUUUAUUAUAUAAAACUAUGCCACAACUUUUAAGCACGUCGGUUGCUUGCGAUUUUCGGUCUUGGAGACUGCCAGUUAUGUUAGGAAAAUAAGGGUUUUUCCUGGAUACAAACCAAACAACUAAUAGGAAAAUAAGGGAUUUUCCUGGUGCAAUUACUUACAACUUAUAACACGAACAUUCAUAUGCAUUUCAUACUUUUAUAAGAAAAUAAGGGUUUUUCUUGGAAAACACAACAAUUCAUAUCUCAACCAUUAGGGAAAAUAUGGGAUUUUCUGGAUCUAAUACAUUCAUUUUCAACACAACAAAUCAUAACUCUUUACAUUUGAAACACUGCGUUUUCUGGAAAACAUACACGAACUUUCGAAUGGCGUACAUUUUCUCAAAACACUACUCAUGAACUCACCAACUUAAUUGUUGACACUUUUUCUUUGAAAUAACUUGUAUUCUCAGGGAACCGCUAAGCAGAUUUGGAAAUCAACUUUUGGGGAUUAACGUGCUGACGUUAAUUACUUCUUUUGAAAGAUGUUUAUGUAUUUAUCUUUUGAACAUGUAACGAAUACAAUUAUGUAAACAUUUUGGAAACUUUAAUAUAUAUGGUGGUGUGUACUUUCCUUUCUAUGAACUGUUAUGAUACUGAAUAUGACGUCCUCCGCCCCCGAACGUUUCCGCCGUUCUGGUUUGGGGGUGUGACAGAUUGGUAUCAGAGCAUUGUUUAUAGUGAAUUAAGUAUAUCAAAACCAUUUUGGUAUACAACUAUAAACACAACUGGGCAAAAACACUCUGAGUAAGAGUCAUACUUUUAAAAUUAAAUUUAUUUAGUUUUUGUAAAGUAGGCAUGCAUUCAUUUCAUAUUAAUAACAGGGUCAGUAUCAUAAUUAAAACAAUAUAGAAGUAUUAUAAAUAAGUUGUGCAGUGCAGGUAUGCCUUGGGACAUGUAAUCGGAACUGGGAAGAAUAUAGCCUGAUCAACUAUAUUUGUCCAAGAGCCGACUAACGUAUGCCAAGGAGUGUCUGCAAUGGACAACAAAUUUAAAACUUACCAAAAGCAUAUCGUUAAAGAAUACUAAGGGAGUAUUCAAGUACCUACAACCAUUAAACUUAAGGGUAAAUUCCAUGUGCUUUAGCUUAUAGUCAAUUCUUAACCCUAUUCCUGUAUAGACUCAAUGGCUGGAUUCCAUCACCCCGGUGACCCCUACUACCCCAACCAAGGUAAUGGAGAAGGGAUAGAGAAUGAUCCAGAAGAAGGAAUGCAAGAAGAAUCAGACUCAGAUCCCGAGGACAAUAACCUACCCGUAACGGCCCCAAUUCAAAAUCCUAAUCCUCGACCGGAAUUUCAUGGCUCGACGCCCCUUUGGGCAACUUACCUGGAUAGCUGGAGCCGCNCAACCCCUUCCAUUCAACAGAGACCGAAGCUUCUACAAUCUAAGCGAGGGAGGCUCAGCAGACAGAGCCCUUCCUAUAUUGGUUCGUCAGAUUUCUCGCAUUGGUGAACAAGGACAGACGACCAUCCAUCGAACUGAGGAGAAUGAUGCGAACACUGGAGUCAACACAGUUCGCAUCCGACAGUUAGGAUUAGCUCAUAGGAGAAUCAUAAAUCGAAAUGAAGCGUUGCAGAGAGAGCUAACGGCAACUCAAACCGAAGUGAUAGAACUUCGGGCACGCCAGGCAAGACAUGAACUACGUAUACUCGAGAUAGAGCGUCAGUUGGCAGAAUCUAAGGCCCAUGUAGCCAGCUCGCGUAACAAAUAAUACUUGUCUGACUUCCAAAAUUUUGUCAUAGCAUAAGACGUCGGAUAAAGUCCUUACUUUCUUAACCUUGUAAUUGGAGACCUUUAGAUAGGUCAAAUUUUCCUAACUACAAAACGUAACGCACCAUGUUUUAUAAUAUAUAUGAUGUAUUUCCUUUAUUAAACCCUUUGCAUACCCCUCCAAUUCAUGAGUUUAUCUACUCUCCUUAUGAGUCGAACUCAAAACCCUAUUCAAGGGUAAACCAAACUUCUGAUAUAACAAAUCACUAAUGCGCGACUUUCAAAUCAUUAAAACUUAUAGUUUUUCUUGUUAUUUCCUUACCAGAACAAUGCCUCCUCAUAGGUCAGCACGUAGAAAAGCAACCCCGCCACCACCUCCCCAAUAUGACCCCAACAUAGUGUAAUCUGCUAUCACUGCUGCAGUAACAGCUGCACUAUCUCAAGCAAACUUUAGCGGCGCAGCAAGGGCCGGAAAUAAUCAACUUACCAACGCAACCCCAUUCCUACGAUUGGACACCGCCACUUUGCAAGCUACAGUUAUAGCCACAGUGCCAGCCAUUAUAGCAUACAAUAACUCUGUCAACUCAAGCAGGGAAGGAAACGAUAUCAAAAAUCCUAAUCAAAGAAACAAUCGAAGCCACCUACCAGUAGCUACCUAUAAGAAUACCGCAAGGUGCGAACACAAGAACAUGAAACGAAAACCAUGGAGAGAGAGGGGAGGCAAAUCAACUCAAAGAAACACCAAAAAGCAAUCAACAAACCAUACCCCUACACCCAAAAGGUCGUACAACGGCAACCAACCUAAGUGCAACCGAUGCAACUUUCAUCAUCACGGACCCUGCCGUGAAAUGCAUUGCGUUAGGUGCAAUAGAAAGGGACACACCGUCCGCUACUGCAUAGAACUAGCCCAACCAACUGCUCCAGCCACAAAUGUAGGAGUAGACCGUGCUUGUUAUGAGUGCGGAGUAACGGGACACUUCCGAAGGGACUGCCUUGAGUCAAACAUCAUGAAUGCUGGUGGAGGAGGCCGAGUAUUCGCAAUGGGCCAAGAGGAGGCUAUUGCAGACCCCACGGUUAUUCUGGGUACAUUUCUCCUUGAUAACUUAUUUACAUACAUUCCAUUUGAUAGUAGGGACGCAGAGGAGUUCCGUGAGUCACAAGUUUAAAAAUCUACUCGAACAAACACCCCAAUCAUUAAACAAAACUUUCAUAGUAGUAAUAAUAGAGAUAGACUAAAAAGCACUGAAAACACAUACGUAGAAUGCACUAUCCCACUAACGAACGUCUUACAAUGAGAAGUACCGACAUCGGCAUUCGACGUGGAUUGGUGUGGCCCUACCCAUACCAGUUCCAUGUGUUAUAAAAGACCCUUUAACUUUAACCAUCGACUAACGAAACUCGAUCGAUUUAUAACGACAAACCCGACACAAACCCCAAUUGGUUUCUAGUUUCAAAACCCCGAGGUACUCAUGUGAGGAGUCUUUACAACCUUCUCGUAGUAUCCCCCAACAGAUCAUUUAGAAAUACAACGCAUACAACAAGUCAAAUCCAAGCUCAAAAACUAGGAGUGAAUUCAACCAUGAACUUCAAAACUUAGCUGCCCUAAUGCAUCGUGUGAAUAUGCUAACAUUUAGAAGAACAUAAGUAAAUAAACCCAAAACCACACGAUCCCGAUCGGUCGAAGUGAUAGGCGGAGUAAUGAAGGUCCGCUGAAACACGCACAUUAGGAUCUAGAUUUAUAAAGAAACAAGAGGAACAAAUGGACCAGAAGCACUCACGCCUGCCUACAAGAAUUGGAGUCCUAGUCAAAAUGCGAAUUUCGGGACGAAAUUCUCUCUAACGGGGGGAUAAUGUAACAACAGCAAAAUUCAGGUCAAAAUUUAAACUUUCAUAAAACUAUAAUUGAGUAUACUAAGUGGUAGAUAUCGUAACAAGGUUUUCAUACAUAUAAAGAACACAAAAAUCCGAGUUAUAACGAAGAAGUUAUGACCAUUCUAAGAUUUCCGACAAAACCGGCAACACCGAUUAAACGAAAAACGCGAAGUUCCAAUACAAUACUUUUUAGCCUUAAGUAUCUAAAUCAAAGUCGUAUAUAUCAUUAAACCAUGAGCAUACAUAAAAAGAACGUCCAAAUCUGACUUCGUGUGAGGAAGUUAUGAUUUUUCUAAGUUACGGAUAUAGCAGUAGACAGCUAAAAACUCGAAAUAAAGAUCGAGAGACUUUUAGCCGACACAAACUAAAUGAGAAUCGAAGGUCUCAACAAUAGAAGCGCAACGGUAAAAAGUCUGACGGAAACGGACGUCGGAUGAAGAAGUUAUGGAGUUUUAACGAAGUUAUCGUGUCCCGGCCUAUUAAUUAAAAUAUAAUUAAAAAUAAAUUUAAAAUUAGCCGACGAAGUCUAAAUGAAAGUUGUAGAGUAUUUUCUCACCUUCGCGUGGAUAUAAAGAACGUCGAAAACGGAGUUCGUAUGAAGAAGAUAUGAAUUUUUGAAGUUUACUAAAUAAUUAAAAUAUAAAUUAAAUAAAAAAAUCCGGUAUUAUUCGAAGGAGGAGUCAUCGGACCAAUCCGGGUUACGCCCAGCGUACCCUCGUACGCCCAGCGUACUCGGAUGCUAGGCUCCGGAUUGUCCACGUCGCUUCAAUGCUUCGUCCGAGGAUGCGGUAAGCCAUGACGUUGCGUACGCCCAGCGUACCCUCACUAAUACGCCCCACGUACGCGAGGCUUUUAGACCCUAUAAAAGGGAUGCAAGGGUGCCAGCCAUUUUUGCUAAUUUCCUUCCUUUCUCGCACAGAAGCUCUGCGUUUCAACCCUCGGAACCAUCCCGAAGCCCUGGUUCCCAUACUCAAGCCCCGAAGGAAGUUUCACACUCCCGAGAUUCCCGAGAAUCCCGAGAAAAUCCGCUUUCUCGAGUAGAAGUUCUGCUCGGUUUUCGUCUCGCUUUCUUCAAUCUAUCAAGUGAGUUCAUACCCCUACAACCACACUUUAAAUGCUUUUUAAACGCUUUUAAGGGGGGGAAUACAAGUAAACACACGACUAAAAUCGUGUGAAACAUCGAUCUUUUGCUAUACUUUUCAUACUGUUGUUUUAACUAUCUUAUGAAGUUAUUAUCAUGCAAAACACCUCACGACACAGCUUUACCCUCUUGGGGUACAAUAUGUUUUAUAAAUAGAAAUAUGUUUUAUUUAUACGUUUACAUACAAAUACAUCAUAUCAAGGGUAACCAUCUUUGCUAAACCAUUUUAUACUUUCAAAGAACUUAUGACUUAUGCUUUGUCAAACAUUGUGAAAAAGAAUAAACUUUGCAUACAAAACUAUCACUUUAAUACAGACUUAGUUGAGAAUCCGUGAGACGUGUACAUCUUCAAAUACUACCUUUUGCUAAAAGGUAUCGCUACAAGUCCUGUCUAUAACCAGAGUCUCCCGUUCGGAGAACGUGUCAAAUGUGUAUAGAUCUAUACGGGAAGUCAUGAUCCCACGCCCUGACUGUUAGCUACAGUCCGUCUUUUGGGGUGACAGUUGUCAUAACGCUACGACGCCUGAAGAACGUCGCUACAAGCAUAUUAUGUUUAGUAUGGUUAUAAAACUCAUCGGAUAUACAAUUAUUAUGGUAUUAUGCUUUUAUGAACGAGUAGCUAUUAAAACUAUUCUUCAUCUAACAAGUGCGAUCUUCGUAUAGCUUUAUUAUAUAAAACUAUGCCACACCUUUUAAGCACGUCGAUUGCUUGCGAUUUUCGGUCUUAGAGACUGCCAGUUAUGUUAGGAAAAUAAGGGUUUUUCCUGCAUCUAAAACAAACAACUAAUAGGAAAAUAAGGGAUUUUCCUGCAACAAUUAUUUACAACUUAUAACACGAACAUUCAUAUGCAUUUCAUACUUUUAUAAGAAAAUAAGGGUUUUUCUUGGAAAACACAACAAAUCAUAUCUCAACUAUUAGGGAAAAUAUGAGAUUUUCUGGAUCUAAUACAGUCAUUUUCAACACAACGAAUCACAGCUCUUUUCAUUUGAAAAUACCGGGUUUUCUGGAAAACAUACACGAACUUUCGAACGGCGUACAUUUUCUCAAAACACCACUUAUGAACUCACCAACUUAAUUGUUGACACUUUCUCUUUGAAAUAACUUGUAUUCUCAGGGAACCGCUAAGCAGGUUU
This 6524-nucleotide long non-coding RNA is filed under the name Lactuca sativa (garden lettuce). RNAcentral's name for it is "long non-coding RNA (LSAT_LNC006649)". The record is from RNAcentral. Lineage: Eukaryota; Viridiplantae; Streptophyta; Magnoliopsida; Asterales; Asteraceae.